Non-coding RNA from Gossypium hirsutum (cotton), 127 nucleotides. Lineage: Eukaryota; Viridiplantae; Streptophyta; Magnoliopsida; Malvales; Malvaceae. The record is from Rfam.
UGUUAAAAAUUUCAUCCAUUUGUACUGUUAAAAUUUAGCGUGGCUAAUGGACUAACCAGAUAAUGCCAUGUGUACCUUAUGUAUAGGGACCAGUUUUUAAUAGUAGAAAUGGAUGGAAUUUUUACCA